This 240-nucleotide unclassified non-coding RNA is filed under the name plant metagenome. RNAcentral's name for it is "partial contains small subunit ribosomal RNA, internal transcribed spacer 1, and 5.8S ribosomal RNA". The stretch from base 192 to 240 matches the Rfam family "5.8S ribosomal RNA", at positions 1 to 49 of the family's 154-position model. The record is from RNAcentral.
CCGUUGGUGAACCAGCGGAGGGAUCAUUACAGAGUUAUAAAAUCCCAAACCCCUGUGAAAAUACCCAACGUUGCUUCGGCGGGACCGCCCCGGCGCCCUCGGCGUCCCGGAACCAGGCGCCCGCCAGAGGACCCAGACUCCCGUUUAAACCAUAGGGGCAUAUUCUGAGUCACACAAGAAAAAUGAAUAAAAACUUUCAACAACGGAUCUCUUGGCUCUGGCAUCGGUGAAGAACGCAGC